This is a small nucleolar RNA of Camelus dromedarius (Arabian camel), 132 nucleotides long. RefSeq annotates it as small nucleolar RNA SNORA71. The record is from RefSeq and is a predicted model, not a curated record. The transcript has a single exon. NCBI's taxonomy places the organism in Eukaryota, Metazoa, Chordata, Mammalia, Artiodactyla, Camelidae.
UCCUGCAUUGAAAGUGAUCGUGCUCUGCCCCUGCCCUGUCAUUGACAGUGCAGGGAGAGGAAUCGCUGAAAGAUGUUUCCCCGUGUGUGGAGGGCCCAGUGGAUCUUUCUGAUACCUAGCUUCUUCCUCUUG